GCUGGGCGCAGUGACGCACACCUGUCAUCCCAGUGGCUUGGGAGGCUGAGAUAGGAGGAUCGCGAGUUCAAAGCCAGCCUCAGCAACAGUGAGUCACUAAGCAACUCAAUGAGACCCUGUCUCUA
This 125-nucleotide small RNA is filed under the name Marmota monax (woodchuck). The record is from RNAcentral. Lineage: Eukaryota; Metazoa; Chordata; Mammalia; Rodentia; Sciuridae.